AGUGAACGCUGGCGGUAGGCCUAACACAUGCAAGUCGAACAGCAGCACAGUAAGAGCUUGCUCUUACGGGUGGCGAGUGGCGGACGGGUGAGGAAUACAUCGGAAUCUUCUUUUUCGUGGGGGAUAACGUAGGGAAACUUACGCUAAUACCGCAUACGACCUACGGGUGAAAGCAGGGGAUCUUCGGACCUUGCGCGAUUGAAUGAGCCGAUGUCGGAUUAGCUAGUUGGCGGGGUAAAGGCCCACCAAGGCGACGAUCCGUAGCUGGUCUGAGAGGAUGAUCAGCCACACUGGAACUGAGACACGGUCCAGACUCCUACGGGAGGCAGCAGUGGGGAAUAUUGGACAAUGGGCGCAAGCCUGAUCCAGCCAUACCGCGUGGGUGAAGAAGGCCUUCGGGUUGUAAAGCCCUUUUGUUGGGAAAGAAAAGCAGCAGGUUAAUACCCCGCUGUUCUGACGGUACCCAAAGAAUAAGCACCGGCUAACUUCGUG
Molecule: ribosomal RNA, 492 nt
Filed under: uncultured bacterium
Lineage: Bacteria
Description: partial 16S ribosomal RNA
Rfam family: Bacterial small subunit ribosomal RNA
Source: RNAcentral